Thalassophryne amazonica is the source of this 161-nucleotide long non-coding RNA. RefSeq lists it as uncharacterized. NCBI's taxonomy places the organism in Eukaryota, Metazoa, Chordata, Actinopteri, Batrachoidiformes, Batrachoididae. The transcript is spliced from 2 exons. The record is from RefSeq and is a predicted model, not a curated record.
CCACAGGCAGGGAGAAGAGGAAAACUUGAAGGAGAGCUGGCUGAUAUGAUGGAGAGGAGAAAGGUAGACAUAUUGUGUGUGCAAGAGACCAAGUGGAAGGGAAGUAAGAGCAGGAGCAUAGGAGGUGAGUUCAAGUUGUUGCAUCAUGGUAAGGAUAGGAA